ACAUGGAACAGAGUUAAUAAAAAAAAGGGGGGGAGGACUCAAGGAGAGGAAAUGCAACUGUCAGAAAUCGGGACCGCCAGAUUUCCUGGUGAACCUGCCUCUCUGAGAGGGUGUCUCACCGAACGGUAGCUAAGACCUCACCAGGACCGCGCGAAGUGAGGAGUCGCGUCCAAAGGCGCCCGCCGGAGCCUCGUCUCUGGGCCGGACCCCAACCCGAGCGGCCGAAAGGAACCCCCCGCCCGGAUCACAGAAAAGAGCAGAAAGGAUGGGGGGAGGGGGGAACGAGAUCGAAGUAGAAGGAAGGCGAGACCCGACGCAUUCCAGCCCCUCUUUCCUUAGCUGCUCCCGGCCGGAAGGCGCACUUGAUGCCGGGAGAGGCGAAGAAGGUGAAGUUCGUUUGUAGACCUGGAACCCCUUUGGGGGGUGCCGGGGAAUAAAUCAGUUCACAACUGAUUCACAACCGGCCACAGCCCCCCCCCAAUACACACACACACACACACACACACACACACACACACACA
This is a long non-coding RNA of Physeter macrocephalus (sperm whale), 521 nucleotides long. RefSeq lists it as uncharacterized. The record is from RefSeq and is a predicted model, not a curated record. The transcript has 3 exons. NCBI's taxonomy places the organism in Eukaryota, Metazoa, Chordata, Mammalia, Artiodactyla, Physeteridae.